CCUUUCGUUCCCCUGUAAUAUACCAUAAUGAUCAAAGAAUUUUUGUGAAAGGUACAGCAAAAGGAGGUUGAUUUUUUUUUUUGUUAGACACAGGUGCAGAAAUUAUGGUGAUUCUGACUGCAUUAGCCAGAAGCCGUACGAAACUGAACAUACGAAGCCAAACAUACGAAGCUAAGCACGCGCAUACGCAGAUAUCAUCCCUAAACCACGCUGGAUUUUAUUGAUUCUCUGCGAUGUGUGAAAUAAGCAAUAUUAUCUUCGAGAUGCAUUGGUAACUCGGCUGCAGAAAGUUUCCAAUUUGUACUGAAAGAUAUUGCCGUACGAGCCCAUGGACGUGAAUAGCCAGUUGCAGAGAGGCCAUCGG
Long non-coding RNA from Ictalurus punctatus (channel catfish), 364 nucleotides. The record is from Ensembl. Lineage: Eukaryota; Metazoa; Chordata; Actinopteri; Siluriformes; Ictaluridae.